RNAcentral lists this ribosomal RNA (505 nucleotides) under uncultured Glomus. RNAcentral's name for it is "SSU rRNA". It matches the Rfam family "Eukaryotic small subunit ribosomal RNA", at positions 569 to 1076 of the family's 1831-position model. Lineage: Eukaryota; Fungi; Glomeromycota; Glomeromycetes; Glomerales; Glomeraceae. The record is from RNAcentral.
AGCAGCCGCGGUAAUUCCAGCUCCAAUAGCGUAUAUUAAAGUUGUUGCAGUUAAAAAGCUCGUAGUUGAAUUUCGGGAUCAAUUUAUUGGUCGUGCUAUUGUACGUACUGGUAUUAUUGAUUCCUACCUUCUGACGAACCACGAUGUCAUUAAUUUGGUGUCAUGGGGAAUCAGGACUGUUACUUUGAAAAAUUAGAGUGUUUAAAGCAGGCUCACGCUUGAAUACAUUAGCAUGGAAUAACGAAAUAGGACGUUUGAUUCUAUUUUGUUGGUUUCUAGGAUCGACGUAAUGAUUAAUAGGGAUAGUUGGGGGCAUUAGUAUUCAAUUGUCAGAGGUGAAAUUCUUGGAUUUAUUGAAGACUAACUACUGCGAAAGCAUUUGCCAAGGAUGUUUUCAUUAAUCAAGAACGAAAUUAGGGGGAUCGAAGACGAUCAGAUACCGUCGUAGUCUUUAACCAUAAAACUNUAGCCGACUAGGGGAUCGGAUGAUGUUAAUUUUAUGACU